CCCGCAUUAUCUCUUUUCAAAUGGUGACCUUGGAUAAGAUAGGUUUCAUUAAUCAUGGUGCGUGGAAUUUGAAUAUAAUCAAGAUCUUGCCCUUCCAACGCACCAAUGGCCGUGGCCACACGUGUUAUGAGUGAAGUCAAAGAGACAGGGGUGGUUGUCUUGAUUAUAUCUAACCAAUGCCUUACAAUUUCUUGCACAGGCGCAACUUUUAUUUUCAUUCUAGCUGCGUAAAGUAACCUCAUUUUAUUUACUCGCACAACACGGUAUCCUAGCUAGGAAACAUUGUUAUGGAUAGCCAAAGGUGUAAAAACCCUAGAGUGGGGUGUUGGAUGUGGGCAUUUCUAGGAUAGUAUUUUCUAGUGUGAACUUGCCCCGUGAUUUCUUCCCAAAACUUAUCCUUAUUAAACCCUUUUGUGGCAUGCACUAAAUCAAGAGAGCUUCUUUGAUGAAAACCAAGAUAUUUGCUUAAGUCUUUCCAAAAGAUAGCAUAUUCAUUUCCAAAUAAACGAACAGAAAUACCUUCAUAUGUUUCUCUUAAAGUGCAUAGGAAUUGAAUGGUAAGGGUAUAGGAUCCAUACUCAGU
This 583-nucleotide long non-coding RNA is filed under the name Sorghum bicolor (sorghum). Its description in RNAcentral is "long non-coding RNA (SBIC_LNC014377)". Lineage: Eukaryota; Viridiplantae; Streptophyta; Magnoliopsida; Poales; Poaceae. The record is from RNAcentral.